Pogona vitticeps (central bearded dragon) is the source of this 390-nucleotide non-coding RNA. The record is from RefSeq and is a predicted model, not a curated record. Lineage: Eukaryota; Metazoa; Chordata; Lepidosauria; Squamata; Agamidae.
UGUGUCAUUACGCCAAUCAUGGAAGCAGCCCAGCCAGUAGUUCCCCACCAUCUGUGUGCAGCCGACUACUCUGGCUAAGAGGCAGGAUGAAGAGUCUCCCCGCUUAGCUGUUGAGCGGUUGGCUGUUUGGGGAGGUGAAGAAGUGCCUGUCAAGCUGCUUCUUGGUGUAAUGAUGUCGACAAUAGCUAUGCAUACUGUACAGCGACCGAAUCCUCAGCACCUCACAGUUCCUGCAUUCUUCACAGAAAUCUGGGACAGUUGAAAUGGAUAUGAAACUGAAACACUAAACAAGCAAGGGAAGAAAACAGCAAUACUGUACUCCUAUGCACAAACAUUCGAAGGUCGGCUGGUUUUCAGUCAGAGCACUGAAUAAACUUGUCCCUCUUCACA